GACGAACGCUGGCGGCGUGCUUAACACAUGCAAGUCGAACGGAAAGGCCCUGCUUUUGUGGGGUGCUCGAGUGGCGAACGGGUGAGUAACACGUGAGUAACCUGCCCUUGACUUUGGGAUAACUUCAGGAAACUGGGGCUACUACCGGAUAGGAGCUCCUGCUGCAUGGUGGGGGUUGGAAAGUUUCGGCGGUUGGGGAUGGACUCGCGGCUUAUCAGCUUGUUGGUGGGGUAGUGGCUUACCAAGGCUUUGACGGGUCGCCGGCCUGAGAGGGUGACCGGCCACAUUGGGACUGAGAUACGGCCCAGACUCCUACGGGAGGCAGCAGUGGGGAAUAUUGCACAAUGGGCGGAAGCCUGAUGCAGCAACGCCGCGUGCGGGAUGACGGCCUUCGGGUUGUAAACCGCUUUCGCCUGUGACGAAGCGUGAGUGACGGUAAUGGGUAAAGAAGCACCGGCUAACUACGUG
RNAcentral lists this ribosomal RNA (468 nucleotides) under uncultured bacterium. RNAcentral's name for it is "partial 16S ribosomal RNA". It matches the Rfam family "Bacterial small subunit ribosomal RNA", at positions 28 to 507 of the family's 1533-position model. The record is from RNAcentral.